GCCAGGCACGGUGGCGCACACCUGUAAUCCCAGCUAUUUGGGAGGCUGAGGCAGGAGAAUCGCGAGUUCAAGGCCAGCCAGGGCAACUUGUGAGAACUUGUCUCAA
Molecule: small RNA, 106 nt
Filed under: Marmota monax (woodchuck)
Lineage: Eukaryota; Metazoa; Chordata; Mammalia; Rodentia; Sciuridae
Source: RNAcentral